AAGUCGUAACAAGGUUUCCGUAGGUGAACCUGCGGAAGGAUCAUUAAUGGGUUACUGGGCUUCGGUCCAACCUCCAACCCUGUGUCAAACUACCAUGUUGCUUUGGCGAGCCUGUCUUCACGGGCUGCCGGAGGCCUGUAGGCCUCUGGUUCGUGCUCGCCAGUGGCCCAAUUAAAAUUCUUUAUAACUGUGUCGUCUGAAUUAUCAAGUUAAAUCGUUAAAACUUUCAACAACGGAUCUCUUGGUUCUG
RNAcentral lists this unclassified non-coding RNA (250 nucleotides) under fungal sp. Its description in RNAcentral is "partial internal transcribed spacer region". The stretch from base 1 to 46 matches the Rfam family "Eukaryotic small subunit ribosomal RNA", at positions 1786 to 1831 of the family's 1831-position model. Lineage: Eukaryota; Fungi. The record is from RNAcentral.